UCUAACAUCAUUCAAUUACCUCCAAUUUAAUAUAUUCAAGCCUACAUUUCUGGCCUUUCAAAAUAUUUUGAGUCUAAACUCUAAAUCAUAAACCCUAAACCCUAAACUCUAGACUUACUUCUCUUUCUCUAACCUUCUCCUCUCACCUCAUUUUCCCUUUUUGGCCUUUUGUCUGUUAUUUUUAUAUUUUCGAAGGCCUAAGCUGCUUCCAUCUCUGUACGCUCAGUUCAUUUUACUUAAUGAAUGAAGCUGGUAGCUUGCUAUCUUAUUUCGCCAAAAAAAAAAAAAAAAAAAUUUUGAGUCUAAACAUAUA
This 313-nucleotide long non-coding RNA is filed under the name Ananas comosus (pineapple). Its description in RNAcentral is "long non-coding RNA (ACOM_LNC027093)". The record is from RNAcentral. Lineage: Eukaryota; Viridiplantae; Streptophyta; Magnoliopsida; Poales; Bromeliaceae.